AGGCGGUUGGAUGACCGCGGGCCCGUAAAGCUUCUUUAUGGGAAUGAGGAAAGUCCGAGCACCGCAGGGCAGGGAUGCCAGUUAACGGCUGGUGGAGGCGACUCCAAGGCAAGUGCAACAGAGAGAUACCGCCAAAGCGAUUUGGUAAGGGUGGAAAGGUGCGGUAAGAGCGCACCGGCGGCCUGGCGACUCGUCCGUCAUGUAAACCCCAUCCGGUGCAAGAUGAGGAGGCACAAGGGCUGCCCGUCCGCCUCCGCAGUAUCGCUUGAGCGCUUCGGCGACGAUGCGCCUAGAUAGAUGGUCAUCAAAACAGAACUCGGCUUACAGACCGCGC
This 334-nucleotide RNase P RNA is filed under the name bovine gut metagenome. RNAcentral describes it as "Bacterial RNase P class A". It matches the Rfam family "Bacterial RNase P class A". Rfam says of the family: Ribonuclease P (RNase P) is a ubiquitous endoribonuclease, found in archaea, bacteria and eukarya as well as chloroplasts and mitochondria. Its best characterised activity is the generation of mature 5'-ends of tRNAs by cleaving the 5'-leader elements of precursor-tRNAs. The record is from RNAcentral.